Long non-coding RNA from Alligator sinensis (Chinese alligator), 751 nucleotides. RefSeq lists it as uncharacterized. The record is from RefSeq and is a predicted model, not a curated record. Lineage: Eukaryota; Metazoa; Chordata; Crocodylia; Alligatoridae. The transcript is spliced from 4 exons.
AGCCAUUUUGGGAGCUGGGGCUGCCCCCGUAAACACGGAAAAGGAAGAGCAGGAGGUGGACACUGCCCAACUAUGUGAUGAGGACCAUUUUCAAUUGGAGCAGAGCCAGGAGGAAGAUUUCCCACAUGUCUCUCAAGAACAUCUGGCUCGAAGCAAUGGUGAAAUAUUGCGACCAGCACUGAUGAGGAUAACCCCACAAUUCAAGGCAAUUUUGGUACUUACCACCAGCAGACAGUACACACAAGCACAGGGCACUAUCAUAACGGGGAUGGCAACUACAGAAACACGUGUCGCAGACAACGAGUGAAGAGCACAGAUCCGCACAGGGGACUAUUUUGAUGCAUGUCACUCCCACAAUGCACCGCACAAAGGAACUCACUGGUGUGGAAGCCCGCAAUCACUGUGACUGAUUCGGUCUCUGGGCUAGUUAAGGAAGGAAUGAACCCUAAACAGAAAACUGCAGCUACUCUUUUCUUCAUGUUUAACUAGACUACUGGGACAAAGAGAACGUGCAUCUCGAGCUUAAUUACAGCUUCUUUUCUCACCUGUUACAAAAAAAAUUGUCAUUUUUUGUACUUUGUAAGUAACUGACAAAAUAAUAAAGAGAAAAGUAUGACUAUGGCUAAAAUAAUAAAUGCAUAGGAGUGUAGAACAGUGGGGCACAAGUGUCCUGCAGCUGCAGUCCCCUGUCCCUGCCAGCUGGGGAAUUGUUCAAAUCAUUAGUUUUUAAUGUGAGCUAUUUCAUCUCAUA